GAUGAACGCUGGCGGCGUGCUUAACACAUGCAAGUCGAACGGAAAGGCCCAAGCUUGCUUGGGUACUCGAGUGGCGAACGGGUGAGUAACACGUGGGUGAUCUGCCCUGCACUUCGGGAUAAGCCUGGGAAACUGGGUCUAAUACCGGAUAGGACCACUUCUCGGAUGUUGUGGUGGAAAGUUUUUUCGGUGUGGGAUGAGCUCGCGGCCUAUCAGCUUGUUGGUGGGGUAAUGGCCUACCAAGGCGUCGACGGGUAGCCGGCCUGAGAGGGUGUACGGCCACAUUGGGACUGAGAUACGGCCCAGACUCCUACGGGAGGCAGCAGUGGGGAAUAUUGCACAAUGGGCGCAAGCCUGAUGCAGCGACGCCGCGUGGGGGAUGACGGCCUUCGGGUUGUAAACUCCUUUCGCUAGGGACGAAGCGUUUUGUGACGGUACCUGGAGAAGAAGCACCGGCUAACUACGUG
This 467-nucleotide ribosomal RNA is filed under the name uncultured bacterium. Its description in RNAcentral is "partial 16S ribosomal RNA". It matches the Rfam family "Bacterial small subunit ribosomal RNA", at positions 28 to 507 of the family's 1533-position model. The record is from RNAcentral.